Molecule: ribosomal RNA, 351 nt
Filed under: uncultured bacterium
Lineage: Bacteria
Description: partial 16S ribosomal RNA
Rfam family: Bacterial small subunit ribosomal RNA
Source: RNAcentral
CCUACGGGAGACAGCAGUAGGGAAUAUUGCUCAAUGGGGGAAACCCUGAAGCAGCAACGCCGCGUGGAGGAUGAAGGUUUUCGGAUUGUAAACUCCUUUUGUUAGAGAAGAUAAUGACGGUAUCUAACGAAUAAGCACCGGCUAACUCCGUGCCAGCAGCCGCGGUAAUACGGAGGGUGCAAGCGUUACUCGGAAUCACUGGGCGUAAAGAGCGCGUAGGGGGGGUAGCAAGUCAGAUGUGAAAUCCUAUGGCUUAACCAUAGAACUGCAGUUGAAACUGUUAUUAUAGAGUAUGGGAGAGGUGGGAGGAAUUUGGGGGGGAGGGGUGAAAUGCGUAGAGAGAAAGAAGAA